AGUAGCCGUUCAACAAAUUCUUCUCUCUCAAAUGUCCCUCUACAACAUAUCUCAUCCUCACAAAACUUGGUGAAUCACCUUCUUCUCCAAACCCAUCUCACGCACACCUCUAGAUCCCUGUAUCCCCCUUUCAAAAUCUAAACAAACCUUAACGAGCUGCACCCCGUGUCUCUUCUCCCUCGUAUGAAGGUCGGCCGACCACCACCUAUGGUGGCGGCGUCUGGCAGCUGCAACAACGACAAGCGGAGGUGAGACAUCGCAAGCGGCGGUGUUUUGCCUCGAAGUCCUGGUCAAACUCACACCGCUACUCACCUUCUUCCUGUAUUUAUGGCACCCACACAUCUGAAUCAAGAGCGAGACUACAGAGAGUGGCCGGAGAAAUAGGGAGUUAGGGGGCUGUGAUGUUGAAGACGAGCGGCGACGACAGUGGCGCCGCCUCAGGCAGCGGCCGGCGGUGCUGACAGAUGAGGUGGGUUCGGGUGGUCCGACACGAUGGCCGACGGCGACGGUGGUGCAGGCAGCGGCAAAGUGGCGAUGUUAUUCAGCGGGUUUCGAGUUUAGUUCGGGUUAUGUAUGUUUCGGCUCAGAUUAGGUAAGUGGCUCAGGUCUCAGUUGCUUUGGUAUUGGGUUUCUGUUCGAGAGUUCGGGACAGCAGGUGUCGGGCCAGAUUCAAGUGGAUUCGGGCAAUAUUCCAGUUCAACUUUCAGAUCUGUUGGUUCGGGUCUCGUUAUCUCAGGUCAAGGUGUUCAGGUUUUCGGGUUAACUCUGGUCAGCGGUUCAGUCUAUGUCUCUACGGGACAGUUUGGUUCGAGUUAUUUUUAGUUUCGGUCCGGGUUAGAUUUGGUUCAGUUUUGGUGUUCGGGUCAACAUGGUCAAACUGGUCAAACAGUCAAACUCGGGUCAACUUCAACGCAAGACUUGGGUGACCUCGGUGUUCCGUCCUCCUAAACUCGUACACUCGUCAACACUUGGAUAAUCGGAAGACUUAGCAAUUAAGUUUGAUAGUCGAGAUGAUGCUAAGCGAAGAAACAUGAUUUAGGUGGACUUAGAAAUGCACUUAGAUUAAUCUAUUUUGUUAUGUUAUGAUUGAAAUCAAUGUUGUUCUCUUAUUUGUAUUCUUGUACACAAAUUGUAGUAUUGAAAUGAAAUUUGAAUUAAAUUUAUAUUGUCA
Long non-coding RNA from Helianthus annuus (common sunflower), 1171 nucleotides. RefSeq lists it as uncharacterized. The record is from RefSeq and is a predicted model, not a curated record. The transcript is spliced from 3 exons. NCBI's taxonomy places the organism in Eukaryota, Viridiplantae, Streptophyta, Magnoliopsida, Asterales, Asteraceae.